ACUCUAAGAUUGUAUGGUCCAUCAAAUGGCCUGGCAAGAGCAGUUACAAGAGAUGUUCAGUUGGAAAAGCUACUCUUGCCUGCUAAUAUAAAUAUUCUGCCUUUAUAUAUUGGAGUUCACCGUGACCCUCACUUUUGGGGAGAUGAUGUGCAUCAUUUUAAACCCGAGAGAUUCGCUGAAGGGAUUGCCAAAGCUACCAAUUACACCGCGGCUGCAUUUCUUCCCUUCGGGUUGGGACCUCGAUCUUGUGUUGGUAUGACAUUUGCAACAAUAGAAACCAAGAUUGUUCUCUCCAUGAUUCUACAACGUUACACCAUUACCCUCUCCCCUGCCUAUAUCCACUCUCCGAUAUCUAUUCUCAGCAUUAGACCACAACAUGAAAUUCAGGUGAUACUUGAACCACUGCAUCAUAAUGCUUGAAGUACAUAGCUGUUAAGAACUAAGGGUUUAACGUGGUUCAUGUAUUUUAGGUUUAAGAGAUGACAUUUAAUAUGUUUAAGGUUCCAGCAUUUGCAUCCCCUUCCCUAUCCUAAGCUAUACCCACCUUUAUACAUAAUGAAAUUCAAAUAGCUACUGAUUUCCAAGGUGGUAAAACGCAAUCAAUAAAGAAGAAUAUGUUGAGGCAAGUUUUGGGAGCAGUGACUUGAAAAAUGACAACUGCACUUGGCACGUGUCCCUUAUUUGUUAGCUUGUUUAAAAUAAAUAUUUUUGAUUAUUUGCUUGAAGAUUUUGUACAUCCAAUUUCAUGUUUAUUAAUGGAUUGGUUUUUCUUAAACUACUGGUUAUACUAAGGCUUGUUUAAACUUUGGGCAAAGCAUAAUAGAUGUAGAUAUGUUCUCCUUGAUUGGUGUCAAAUCUACUAAAAAUAAAUUUUUCUGCCUGAUACUGAAAUUAAAUUUAUAGUAUAGAGAGUUGAAUCGAUCUCACAAAAGUUAAUCUAUCCAAAUCUAUAUUCUUUAUAACUAGAACGUGUCCCAAGUAGUUUUUGUGCCCAUGACUUGUGCGAACCUGUACAAAAAAUAAGAGGGGUUAAAUCUGAAAAAUAAAUAAACAACCGAAAUUAAUUAAAAAUGAAAAUAAAGUAGAAAUAAGUAAAACGAAAUAAUAUUAUUGAAUUAAAUAAUUUCAUUUUUUAUUAAAAAAUUAUCAUACACACCUGGAAAAUAUGAAACACAUGGUUAAAUCUAAUUGGCUUCUAGACUAAAAAUAUUAACUAGAAGAAAGUUCCGAGUAAAAAAAAUUUAAACAUAAAUGUGAGAAAACGAGUAUAGUUUAAGAGCUAAAAUAUGAAUAAAGUCGAAAUAAAUUCCUAAAAUAUAAAAUUUCAUAAAUACAUUAAUGUGAUUAUAUAUAAUCAAAAUUAAAUAUUAAAUCGAACUAAAUAUGAUUUAAACUUGAAUCAAAGAAUGAAACUCGUAAUUCCCGUAAAAUUCUUAUUCAGAAAUAAGUUUUUGAACUCGAAAUAAGAUAAUAAAUUUAUUAAAAGAGGCAACCACUUAACAGUGGAUGAUACAAGUCCUUGCAAGAGCAAUUACAAAAUCUGCUGAACUGCACAAUUAACAUACACCAAUAUGACAUCACCACAAGAAAAGCACACUUUACCAAUGCCAGAAAACCAUAGCCCGGAGCAGAAAACAAGAAGCGAGAGAGCAAGUUAUAUCUGAAACAAGCACUACUACGAAACCCUUCUCAACAUGGCAAACACCAUAUCAGAAACUAUGACCAACAGCAGCUCCACCCAUAAUCCAGAACCAAGCAACUAACUAUAGUGAUCGCCCUUGCUUAAAAAAAAAACUUUACAUAAAUCAACGAGCAAGCAUUGGGCCUCACCCCAAGUAAGAAAACGAUCCAUCAAACCUUGAAAAAGCUUUAGACACCAUCAGUUAUCAGCAGAUAAGAAACCUAAAACAGAGCCAACACCAGCAACACCUUAUCAAGACCAACAGCCUAGAAAAAAUCUCAAUGGAACCGAUAGCAAAGGAAACUCAAUGUCAUAUCGGCUCCCAUAAAACUUUCAAACCACCCCACUGUAGCUCUUAAGACUGACGAUAACCAUACUUUAAAAUCACCAAAGCAUCCACUUCGAGAGACACCUUCAACCAUAACACAAUGAAUAGACUCAAAUUCAAUUCUAUAAUCACAACAUACAAAAAAAGACAAGCCAUAUUCAAUAAAAUAACAGCCUCAACCAAUCAGUAGGCCCAUAAAAGGCACAAAACACCAUAAUGCAUCAUCCAACCUCAACAACAUAAAGUUUGUUUAUCAUGGUGUUAUAAUCAAUAUUGGGUUCAAACCCACUAUAAAUAUAUUUUUAUUGAUUUUUAUUAACUUGUGAUUUUUCGUCCACCAGAAACGGCGGUCACCGUCGCCGACGACCGGCGGCCACGACGGAGGUCCGCCGUCCCCAUAGCCUGCCUAAGAAAAAACAUCAGAGAGAAAAAAAAAAGGGAGGGGUUUUUUAAAAAAAAAAACAAAUGAAAAAUGAAUUUUUUGGGAAAAUUUUAACUUAAAUAGAGUAUUGAAACGGCGUCGUUUUGGCCUGGUUCCAUAAAACCAAAACAGCGUCGUUUUGGUCCAGAUUCGCCGACCCGACCCGACCCCCUCAGGAUCCGCGCUUUUUAUGGGGGGUCUAAUUCCUUCUUUGGCCCUUCCAGUUUUUUGUAAUUUUCAAUUUAGUCCUAUCGAUUUUUAUUCGUUUUAAUUUUCGCCCCAUAAUUUAAAUCCUUGUGCAAUUUAGUUCCCUGACCCACUAUAAACCCAUUGGGGGAGUGACACGUGUCUAUAUAUGGGGGAUAAUUUCCAUAUAACCCCCUAAUUUUUAUCUUAUUUUAAUUUAAUCCUUCAAAUUCUUUUUCUUUAUAAUUUAGAAUGUUAGUUUUGUUAUAUUUUAAAUUUAGUUCUUUAUUCCGUUUUCUUUAUUUAUUUUGCGAUUUAUGCUUCAAGUUUCUCUUAAAUUUUGAUUUAAUCCCUUAUUUGGUUAAUUUUGCCUCUUUAUUUACUAUAUUAUUUAUUUUAGUAUUUAACAUUUAUGUUAUUUAUAUUUUCUUUUAUUUACACAUUUUAUUUUUAUCUUAUCAUAGUUAUUAUUAUUUUAUUUACUCCUGUUAUUAUGAUAAUAGUUACGAUAUGAUUAUCACUAUUAUUAUUAUAAAUCGAUAUUCUUAUUACUAUUAUAGUUGCAUUAUUAUUAUUUACCAACAUGUUUCUUUUAUUUUAUUUUUAAUUUUUAAUUUUCUCAUUUAUUUUAUUUCAUUUUAUUUAAUUUUUUUGCUUAUUAUCCUAAUAUCGUCAUUUCUUUUUUUUUUACCUACAUGACUAUUUCAUUUUAUUUUGCUAUCACUAUUCCAUGGGUCAUAUCACAAUGUAUUUAUCAUUUUUUACUUUGCCCAAAUAAAUGUAUAUCGUUUUAAAAGUUACAUUCGUUUUACGUAAUACAUAAUAAAUUUUUAAAAUCAAGGCAAUGUUCAUUAUUUUUUGGAUUCGAGGAGUUGUGCUCUUAACUUACGGAGAAUGACAUCUUUCUAAAACCAAAGUAAUCGAAUAUCCAUUUUAUUUAUUUAUUUAUUUAUUUUUCUAAAAAAAUAAAAACAAGACUUAAAAUAAGAUCAAAUGGUGAUUGUUCUGGUUUCCGAGGAUUCCAAGCAUCGUGUCUUAACUCAAGGGUUACGAUCUUUUCUCCUCAACUAACUCAUAAUAAUGCCUUUUCGUAAAAUUUAAUUUAGCUAAUUGGUUUUAAAGAACAUCAUGCAAACAGAGAGGGAUCAUAGUUUAAUUUCUCUUCGAAUUUUCAACUUCCGACAUCAAAACAUCAAGUAAUCAACUAGGUACCAAUUUUGGGCGUUAUGAGAGUGGUAAUCCUUCCUCAUACGUAACUGACUCCUGAACCCUUUUUUUCCAGAUUUGUAAGACUGGAUAUUAUCGUUUUAACAAAUCUAACGUUUUAUUAAAAUGGCUGAGUUUUGAGGUGAUCCAAUCACACCUAAGUAAAAAAUGUUGAUGGCAACUCCAUCUUCGUUUUCAAAAUAAAGUCAAUUUCAAAAAAAAAAAAGUUUCGACAAUAAUUAUAGAUACAAUUGAUGAAUAUAAUAAAAUAUGCAUAUUAAAAUAAAAAUACAUAAACAAUAUUAAAAUAAUGUUUUGAUGGUGAUAAACUUGAAGUUUUAUUAUUGUGAUUGUUAUAGGUUCAAAUCCCCUCAUAUUCGUUUUUAAUUAUUUUUUUAAAAUAAAAAGAUUAAACUACCCUCGAACAAUAUAACUUAUUCUAAUUAUGGAAGAAUAUUUUCGUAAUUUCUCUAACUGAAUUGGUGUUCGGUUGACUCGUGACACCAAUUCAGUUAGAGACUUAAAUAAUAGUAUAGAUAAUAUAAUUUUUGGCCCUCAACUUGGCAAUUAGAUGCACUUUAAUAUUGUAUUAUUUUUGUCCAAUUUUAUAACUAAGCUUGGCAAGUAAAUUCAAGUGGUCACUGAACUUGAAUUCUAUCAAUUUUUGAAGAUGUGAUCGGUGUUAUUGAAGCAAAAUCAGAUCAUUCGGUCAAAUUAAUUAGACUGAAAAGCGAUUGGUAUAACGGUCCAAACAAAGGGGUUGAAUUGAUUGAAUCGGGAAUUAGUUAAAAAUCGACAAUUUAAAAAAUUAUUUUAAAAUUAUUUUUAGAUUUUUAGGAAUUUUUAAUUAAUUAAUUAAUUAUUAUUGGUCUAGUAGUCGAACCGAUUGAAUAAGAAAUCAAUGGUUUGAUCUUUUAACCAUUGGUCCGAUUAUUAAAACACUGAAUGCAAUACUGUGAGAUUGUAUCAUAUCAUCACCUGAAAAUUUAUAUAAUUUUUUUUAAUUUUCAAGUAAUAUAUAUAAUCAUGUCACAUCAUCAAACUUUUAAAAUUUUCAUGUUCAAAAAUUAAAAUAGACCUAAUUGUUAAAUUCAAAUGACAAAGUGGGCCGAAAAAAUCCUAGUAGCCAAUAAUAGAAAAUAUAUAUUAUUUAAAAAAAAUAAAAAUAUUAAAGCGCACCCACGUGGUGAUAUUGCUCUUUGUCCAUAGUUCCCGACAAUAUUGUUUCCGUCUAUCUCCAGCAAAAUGUGUUUUCUAAUAUUUGGCAACUUUUACUUGCAAGACAACGAUGAAAAACACUUAAAUAAUUAGUUCAGUCCUCCUCAUUAAUUGUAACUCGUAAUAGACCUGAUAUUUUGGCUCAUAAUAAUGUCUCACAUUUACUUUCACAUCUAAUCUUGAUGUUUUUAACAAUGGCGUAGCGUAAUGGACAUUCAGGUGCCAUCACAAAAUUACAUUUUUCAAAAAAAAAAAAACAAAAAAACAAAAGGACCAUCUGGAUUCAGUGUUAAGAGAAGAAACAUGCAUGGAUAGUCUUGCUUUUAGCAACCCAUGGAGAUUGGCAGGAGAAAGCUAGAGGAGAGGUGAUUGACAUAUUCGGUAACCGAAAUCCAGAUUCUGAAGGCAUUUCUAAACUCAAAAUUGUAAGCAUACUGUCAAACAUUCCAAAAUAUUUUGUAUCUCAAUCUCAGGUUUUUUAGUCAGGUCAUGUUUAUCGCAAUUGCUAAUUCAACAAAUACUAUGCAUUUAGGACAUUAUAUUCUUUAAUUUGAUUUGACAUAUUCCUGUUAUGCAAACAGAUCACUAUGAUUAUUAUGAAACUCUAAGAUUAUAUGGUCCAUCAAAUGGCCUACCAAGAGGAGUUGCAAGAGAAGUGCAGUUGGGAAUACUAGUCUUGCCUUCUAACAUAGAUCUUCUGGUUCAAAAUAUUGCACUUCACCAUGACCCUUACCUGUGGGGAGAUGAUGUGCAUCUUUUUAAACCAGAGAGAUUUGCAAAAGGGAUUGCCAGAUCUACCAAUUACAAUGCAGCUGCAUUUUUUCCCUUUGGAUUAGGACCUCGAUCUUGUGUUGGUAUGUCCUUUGCAACCACAGAAACGAAGAUUGUGCUCUCCAUGAUUCUACAACGCUACACCUUUACCCUCUCCCCUGCCUAUGUCCACUCACCAAUGCCUAUUGUCGACCUUCAACCGCAACAUGGAAUUCAAGUAAUACUUGAACCACUGCAUAACAAUGAUUGAUGUACACUAACAGCUAAGGACAUGGGAUUCAACUCUGUUUGUUCCAACAUUCACCUUUAAGAGGUAGCAUUUAAGAUAUCCGGGGUUUUUAGUAUUAACAACCCCUUCCCUAUUCCUAAGCUACGCCCUCCUCUAAACAAAAAGAAAUCUAUGCAUUUGCUAGUUUCCUUAGAUGGUAAAACAUGUGAUUAAACAAUACAUCCUUCAUAUGGCGCAUAUUCCAGCAAGUAAACAGUUAUAUUAUAGUGCAUUUUACUUCACCAUUCUGCUCAUAUUUCAUUUGAAUUGCAGUGUUAUCAUCCUAAAGUCACUCUAGCAAGCAAUGAGGUUGCAAGUUUCUGAUAAAUUUAGUUCUAAUAGACUACUUAAGCUAAUCCACCUUGGUGCUUUGUUUUCUUUUCCUAAACUAUAUUUUUUGCUAUUCCUAGCCCAUUUAAGCAUUCAGUUGGAAGAUGGUCGAGAGUUGUUAUAGCAUUCGGAAAGAAAAGGUUAAUGUGUGUUAAGUGACUGUGUGAGGCUAAGGUUAUGAUAAUCUUCAGAUUGGUUCUGCUUAUAUUAUCUAUAAUAUAAAAUUUACUUUUUAAAAAGUUGUUUAACAAGCUUAUAGCUAAAAUAGGAUAUCCAAAUAAAAUAUAUUAACAAAAAGUAUAUUCUUAAAAUCUUAAAAGAGUAACCAACAAGCGUUGGGUGGAAUGAUAAUUGCAAUAUCAAGGGGAGAACUCAAGUUCCAAUUUUAAGGACGACAUUGUUUGAAGGAAUAAUCACAAACCCCAAAAAAGUUAGUCUCAUUGGAUCAUAAACCGAACAUGAGGAUACAUUGGUUCCACAAAAACAUAAUUUUAACAAGUUAAAAUCAUCAAAUUGUAAUAAUAUGAUUCUUUUUACAAAUAUUCAAAUAUCAAGUUAUCUAAAGUCACCGAUUGAGUCUUAACUCGAUUGGCAUUGGCAUGCAGGAGAAUGCGAGUUCGAGUGCGCUGAAGUUAUUAUCCUCUUAAUUAAGGAUGGGGAGGGACUAUGAAUAGUUCUAAAGAUGAAUUAAAUUAAAUUAAAUUAAAUAAUAAAUAUGUUAAUUCAUUUAAUUAAUUCAUUUAUAUUUUUAUACGAAAUUUUUGUAUAAGUGGAAUAUCCACCUUUCUGCUAAACAAAAUGUAUUGAAUUCAUAAUUUAGUAGAUACUUUUUAUGAAUGCCAACUAAGUAUUGUAUGUAAAUUGUCAACUGCUCCUAUCAAAAAUAGGAUUGACUAGAUAUUCGAGUCAUAUACACAUGGUUUCAUAAAACCGUAUGAUUCUCUGAUCUAAAUCAAGCAAGUUUUACAUGAAGAAGGUUUGCCUCAACAUGUUCAAUUCGAUAAAAGUAGAAGCGGUAUUCUUAAAAAAAAAAAGUAGAGAAAUCAAAACCAAGUCAAGAUAACACAGAUCAACCCCUUCUUCGUGCGCCAAAGAUCUUACCAUUUCGGAAGAAAUUGGAAUUACAUCUCUUUUUCAAUUCUAUUCAAGCUCUUAUGUGUUUCUACGACCAUUUAAGACAUCAAAAUUUUGACAAAUUUAUUUUCUUUUAUUAGGAACACAUACAAGAUUCGUCACUUCAAACAAGAUAAUGGUAACCCCACAAUUAAUUACUUCAUUUAUGACUUUCAUAGUAAUAGAAAUAUAUGUCCUACCAGAACACAAUUUUUAACUUGCUACCCUCUUGCAUAGUGGGCAAGGAUUUACUUCGCGGGAAAGAUGAUUUCACGGGGUUCUAUUUUGCCUUCAAUCCAAUCAUUGUUCACGUUUUUUUUCUUAUCAAUAAAUAGAUCUAAUUACUUGUAUGACUUAGAUAUCUCGUAUCUCUCAAAAUAAUGGUUCGAUUGAUGAGAUUUGGUACGAUAUUUAUGAGAUCAAUGAUAUCAAUGAUAUUGAUAUUCAAAUAUUUCUUCUUAGAACGUAUUGAUUUAACCCCAUAAGCAAGACCACCACCCCAUAAUGUUGCCUCCAAAAGCAGAAUCUCGUAUUUUCUCUUGAGAAUCUCUUAAUUGUUCAAGAGUACCUAGAACGAAAUUCUUUAAUUAGAAAGAAUUUAGUUUCGAUGUACGAUACCUAUCCAGAAGUUUUUGCAACUCAUGAUAUAGAAUCAUAAAAAUUUUUUGACUUUUUAAACAAAUAGAUCACUUGGGUGUAGAAAAGAAAUAAUCAAUAAUAAAAAUUGGUAUAAUUAGAAAAGAAUAUCUAUUUGUUCUCACACUAACUUUUAAUAUUUAUAUAUUAUUUUUAUAAAGAAUUAUUAUAAAAAAUUCUUUUAAAAAUUGAUAUUUUUAUAAUACAUCACUCAAUGUUGAAUACAUUUCAUUAAUAAACAAUAAUUAGCUUAAUUAUUAAGAGUUGAAUUAACUAUUUUUUAAUGAAGCAUUCUCUCUCUAAAAUCUCCAUCCUCACCACUAUUCUUAUCUAAUUCACCUUCAAGUUUUAAAAUCAAUGUUCUAUCAUGUUUUGAUUUUCUUUCAAAUUUAUUUUAAAUUUAAAAAAAUUCUUUUUAAAAAUCUCAAAUAUAUUACAUUUCACACUUUUAAGAAAAUAAUGUACGUUCAAACAUUGAAAAUGACAUAAUUAAAUAGGAUAAUCAUGAAUCCUGAAAAUGAACGGUAAAACGAUUUGUCCAAUUCAAAAUUUAGAAUGAUAGAAUCCUAAUAGAAAAUUUAAACUAAAUUUUGACAUAAUUUUUUGAAUAAUCUUAUUACAAGUUCUGAUCAUAUUUUUUUUAACACAAUAUCUAAAACUAAGCAUAACCGCUCCCAAACUCAUAAAAAGGAAGAUAAUGCGCUUCAGUGCAUAUCCUCCUACAUUGACAACAUACCCAUAUCAAUUGAGUUAAAGACUCAAUCAACACUUAAAAAAUAUUUAAAUACAUUAAAAUUAAUUAUUAUAUUGACAGUAAAAGUAUAAAAAAAAAAACUAAAUUUCCAGAAGAAUUCAAAAAAUAUCAUUAAAUAAUAAACGUGUUAAAAUCGACCCACGUGGUAAAGAUGCCGAUUCUAGUGUUUGCCACGAUACGUUGUCUAUAUGGCGCCAAGGCCAUUUUAUUUUCAACAUAGUUACACGCCGUUAAUUGUAAGUUUUGGCUUUAAAUAGUUAUUCAUCCUAUUUAUUUAUUCGUUAAUAUUGUUAAAUUUGUUAACUGUUUUAUUUUAAAAUUAAAAGAAAUUAUUAAUUUAAUAGUUAUGUAACAAAAUAUGAUGUUUGUGAAAUAUUUGUAUUUAAAGAAAGAAUUUUAGCAGUAUUAUCUAGUAGACUUACAUUUUUAAAUUCGAAAAAUAAGAUAAAAUUCUUAAAAAUAAAAAUAAAAGAGUAAAUUGCAAAUUCACGAUAAUUUUUCAAUAAUUUCUUUAGAAAAUUAAUUUUUAGAAAUGAAAAAUAAUUUUAUGAAAGAAGUACAACUUUAUUUUUUCAUAUUUCACAUUGCAUAAUUUUUUUAAAUAUGAAAUAAAAAAUUUCUUCAAAAUUUGAGAAACUUUUAUAAUCUUCAAUUUUUUUUCACUUUACUUUUUAUUGAAUUUCAAAGAGUUUUUACUUCUUUCAUAUUUUUUGAUUUUUUUUUUAAAAGAAAACCUUUUAGAUAUUUUAGAACCUUUAAUAUAUAUUUUAAAAAAUUAUAGUAGUUAAAUAAAUUACACAUUUGGUCAUUUUAUUUUUGAAAAUUUGUAGUUAUGUGACCUAACUUGAAAUUUGUAAAACUAUUAAUAUUUUAUUUCAAUUAAAAUUUCUUGGUUCAUUAAAUUUUUUUAGAUGUUCAAUAGAUUUGAUAAUGGAAUAUAUUUAUUCCAACUUUAAAUUUAAAGAAUAUAAUUAUAAUAAUGUAAAAGUUGAUGUAUAAUCUUAAUUUUGCAUAAACUGUUUUCAAACUUAAAUGAGCUAAAAAUAUAGUUGAAAAAUAGAAAUUAAUGCUACCAACAACUCCUAGAAAUAGUAUCCACUAAUAACAAUAAACUUACACGAGUGAUGGAUUUAUUAAAACAAUCAGCAACCAACUUUUGACUCUUUCUAUCAAUUGAUUAAUAAUUAUUAAAAAAAUUAUAAUUGUAUCUAUCGAUUAAUAAUUAAGAGAUAUGAUUAUUUUAAUAAAUAGUUAUAAUUAUUAUUAAAAAUGUCACUAUUUAAAUAGUGUUAUGAAUAUAUUACUAAGUGGAUGUCCAUCAAGACUAAUAUAAGUUUUGAUGUACUUUAAAUUAUAAUAGUCAUUAGAAGUAGGCUUUGUAAAUAUUCUAAUUGAGUCAUUAAUAAAAUACGCUCUCUCUUUGCUAUCUGACUCUCAUUCUCAUUCUCCUUGUUCUUUAUUCUUUGUCUUUUAUUUUAUAACACGUUAUUAGCACGAUUCUCUUUUUAAUUAUUUUUCUCCAUAAGUCACAAAAAUAUCCAAAAAUUUAUUGUUGCCGAUUGCCUCCUAGAGCUGCUGCGCACACUAUGGGUAAUCAUUAGAGCUUUUAACCAAUUAGGUACACUAAAUCUCUAAAUUUUAUUUAUGUCCUUUUAUGCAAAGAAACUUAUAUAAUCCGUGGUAUGUUUUUCUCCUUUAUUUAUUGAUUUUCGGAAAAUUUAUUUUAUGAAAAAAAGUAUUAUUACUUUAAGGUUUCUUUUAAACUAAAAUAAUAUUUAGAUGUUUAAAUAUUUGAUUGUUAAAUUCCUGUCAUUAAAUAUUCUUGUAAUUUGAUUAAAAUUAUAGUGGAAAGUGUUAUUAACCUACCAUAGUUGAUCUAUUGAGUCUUACUAACUUUCUAAUGUUGAAUGAUUGUAUUAUAUCUUUUAAAUUGAAUUUAUAAAUAUUUGAUUAGAAGCUUCGAAAGACUUUAUAACAUAUAUGUGGUAUUGAAAUUUGGUACAAUGUGUAUUAGAUAACUUUCAAGCAUUGUACACAAACAUUUUGAUUUUGUUUAUUAAAUGAUUUUUUUACUAUUAGAUUAUAAAUGUUAUUACGAAAACAAAUUGUUUUACUACUUGUAAUUAAUAGUGCUCGUGAUAAUAGCCAGGGUGGUAACAAUGAUGUUAAAGAAUCUCAGGUAUAUAUUAUUAUAAUUUAUUAUAUCAUAUUUAUUAUAAUUGAAGACUAAUCAUAACAACAUGAAUAGAUAGAUUUUGUUUUGAAAUCUAUGCCUGUUUGUGAUGGUGAUUAUGAAAUAAAAAAAAUCAAUGGAGGCGUUUAGAAGUAUGUCCUACUAGAUUUGUUGCAUUCCUUGAAGUGAAUACAAACAUAAAGAAAAUAAAAUAUAUAAUCACAGACCACUAAAAGUGGGAACAUAGUAAUAAAUAAGAGAACAAUGAGAGUUCUAAAGAUAACUCUUCAAAGGGUAAAGAUAACUUAUGUUAUCGAUAUGAUAUGAAAUAUUAUUGGCCACAUACGUAUAUCAAAUAUUUUGUUUCUGUUAAUAUUUUUGAGGAAUGAUAUGAGAAUGUUGAAAUGAAUUCUAUUAUUACAGAUAUAAAAUAUUUAUCUUAUUUGGUACUGAAAUAAACAAAUAUUAUUCAAAUAUUUUGUAGUACAAAAUUAGUCUACAGCUCCAGAAGAGCUAAUUUAUUAAUAUAUUGUGAUAAUUAAUCCAUAGGUUUUAAAAGAUAUUCAUUGUAAUGGAUCAUAUAAAGAUAUUUAUCUUAUAUUUCAUAUGAAUCAUUAUUGCUAUAAAUAUCUAUUUUAAAAGGAUUAAAAAAAAGGGAGGAUUGAGUUAUUAAUUAAUCUUGUUAUUAAAAUGAAUUUAUUGUGACUAUCUUUGUAAUCUUCUUUUGUCAUCAUCCCCAUUAAGGGGUUGAAAGCAAAAUAUUUAACUGUGAAAGAUCUAUUUUUGAGCAAUAGAAUAUGGUAAUUCUAUCUAAAGCUUGCUAUGGUUGGAUGCAACUGAAGUUGCAAGUUUUUUAAAACAGUGAGUAUAACUCUACAGUAUUCAGAAUAAGAUCUCAAUUAAAAUUACGUGAAAAAAAUAUUACUGAUGAGAAAAUUUUAAUUUAACCCUUUAAAAAUUACAAAGAUAUAGACUAUUAAAAUAAUAAAUUUAUUUUUUUAUUAUUAUAAAAAUAUACAGUUUAAUUUCGACCUCCCAAUAAAAAUUUCAAAAUCCGCCACUCGAAGGAUACAAAUAAAAAGACCACAGUGAAUUCAAUUAAAUUUAAAUUCUCACUUAAAUCCAAAUUCAAAGUAAAACAAAUGCGACAGAAUGAAUAAAAUAAUGGGAGAAAGUUUUUCAAGAAGUAGAAAUGCAAAAAUAGCUUCAAAAUCUACUCUUACUAAAAAAAAAAAAAAACAAGAAAGAAUUUAUUAUCUUUUAUAAUAUUAAUUUCUCACAUAUAUACGGCCAAGCUACUCUGAACGUACAACGCACCCAUUUGCGUCAUUGCAAACGCAAUUUUGGUCCUUAUGCAAUAAUAAAGGGGGAAAUGGUUCUGGUUUAGACAAGAAAAAUGAAUGCGUUGAUGAAGCUUCUAAUUCUUGCUCCAUGUUGUUUCUUCUUCAUAGCUUUAAUAAAGUUACUUUAUGAUUACCUAUGGAUACCCCUCCGUAUUCAGCAUAUGCUGAAUUCAGAGGGGAUCAAAGGACCUCCUUACAGAUUCAUCCAUGGCAACAACAAGGAAGUUACCAAAAUGAAACAAAAAGCUUUAAGCAAAUCUGUGGGCUUGACAGAUGAUCUAUUUCCCAAAGUACAUCCACACAUUUACACCUGGACCAACAGAUAUGGUAAGAUCCAUGCUUGUUUUUGUCACUAUGAUUUAUAACUUGUAGUUCUAAGAAAAGGUAGACCUUUUUUCUUUUCAUGUUAUUAGGGAAGAAUUUUGUUCAUUGGAACGGUGCUCGACCUGAAUUGGUGAUUUCAGAGCCUGAAUUAGUCAAAGAGGUUCUGAAAAAUAGUGAACAAAUUUUUCAGAAAAAGAAACUUUCAGAUAUUGGUAGGAAGUUCUUGGGGAAUGGUCUUAUAUUCAUUGAGGGGGGAAAAUGGGCAAAGCAUCGGAAGCUGGCCAAUCACACUUUCCAUGGGGAAAGCCUAAAGGUAAGUCUUCCAAAUAUAUAAACUAGGUGUAAUUAAUUUACAAGAAUUAUACAUAGACUACAAUAUUUUGGUAAAAUUUUGUAUUGUUAGCUAAGGAUAAGUUUAUUAUGGACGUUGAAAAAGUGUAGUAAAAACCUACUUUUGAAAAAUUUAACACCGUUUACUACUUAAGAGGUCAAUUUUAAACUUGAUGUUGUAAAAUAAAAGAUUAAAUCAGAGAUUUAAAAAAAGAUUAAAAUCUAGUUUGAAAUAAGAUUUAGUUUGAAAAGGUGUUUAUUUGUCAAAUUUUUUAAUUUGAAAUCAUGAUUUUGUGUUGACAAUUAUAUAUGUCACUACUACUUACAUAUUGGAGGAUUGUUUGGGCAGAACAUGACUCCAGCAAUAAUUGCUAGUGUUGAAACAAUGCUAGAAAAGUGGAAAGGCCAAGAAGGCAAAGAGAUUGAAGUGUACCAAGAAUUUAGGUUAUUAACUUCAGAAGUGAUUUCCAGAACAGCAUUUGGUAGCAAUUACAUGGAAGGGGAGAAGAUAUUUGCCAUCUUGAGAAAGUUGACAGUAAUUAUGAGUCGAAAUCUUUCCAAGACUAGAAUUCCUUUGAUCAGGUAUCUUCCCUCUAAGCUUAAUUAAUCCCAACUUUUACCUUGAUUUCAACUAGCUUUUGAAUGCAACUUUUAGACUUUCACUCCCCAUGGAUUUGGUUUUCUCCUUAUAUAUAGCUGACCCUGGUUUGCUUUUGCAGCAAGUUGUGGAAAUCUGCUGAUUUGCUAGAGUCUGAAAAACUUUCAAAAGAAAUAAAAGAUCGUCUGAUGAAGAUUGUUAAGAAAAGAGAAGACAAAGCUGUGAAUGGAGAAGUCAAUAGCUUCGGCAGUGAUUUUCUUGGAUUACUUCUAAAUGCCUAUCAUGAUUCGGAUGCGAAAAACAGGAUUUCAUUGGAAGACGUGGUAGCUGAAUGCAAAACAUUCUAUUUUGCUGGACAAGAAACUGUUAAUUCCUUACUUGCAUGGAUAGUCUUGCAUUUGGCAAUCCAUGGAGAUUGGCAAGAAAAAGCGAGAAGAGAGGUGAUUGACAUAUUUGGUAACCAAAAUCCACAUCUCGAAGGCAUUGCGAAACUCAAAAUAGUAAGAAAACUAUCUAACUGGGAAUUCAAAUAGCCAUCAACAUUAUGCAAUCUAACAUAUUUGUCUAUUUCCUAAACAGAUGACCAUGAUCAUCAAUGAAACUCUAAGAAUGUAUGGUCCGCCAAAUGGCUUGGCAAGAACAGUUGCAAGAGAAGUACAAUUGGGAAAGUUAGUCUUGCCUGCUAAAUUAGAUAUUCUGCCUCUAAAUAUUGGACUUCACCGUGACCCUCAAUUGUGGGGAGAUGAUGUGCAUCAUUUUAAACCCGAGAGAUUCGCUGAAGGGAUUGCCAAAGCUACCAAUUACACUGCGGCUGCAUUUAUUCCCUUCGGAUUGGGACCUCGAUCUUGUGUUGGUAUGACAUUUGCAUCAAUAGAAACAAAGGUUGCUCUCUCCAUGAUUCUACAACAUUACACCAUUACCCUCUCCCCUGCCUAUGUCCACUCUCCAAUACCUAUUCUCACCCUUCUACCACAACAUGGAAUUCAGGUAAUACUUGAGCCGAUACAUAGUAAUGCUUGAAGUACAUAGCUGUUAAGAAAUAAAGGUUUAACAUGGUUCAUGUAUUUUAGUUUUAAAAGGUGACAUUUAAUAUGUAUAAGGUUCUAGCAUUUGCAACCCCUUCCCUAUCCUAUAGUAUGCCCACCUUCAUACAUAAUGAAAUGCAAGUAGCUACUUAUUUCCAAGAUGGUAAAACACACAAUCAAUAAAGAAGAAUAUGUCGAGGCAAGUUUUGGGAACAGUGACUCAAGAAAUGACAACUGAAUUUGACACGUACAGAUCACAUAACUUCUCUUUUUUGUUAGCAUAUGUUGGUGAUUAGAACUCGAACUUUGAUGAUUGAUCGAGAGAUUUGAAGCAAAAAGAAGAGAAAGGAAGUUUUAAGAUAGAAAGUAAUUGAAGACUGAAAUAAUAAUGGAUUUGCUCCUCAAUGACUUAAAUACAAAAGUUGAAGACUAAAAAUAGAAAAAAAAAGGUUCUAAAAAUCUGCUAAGAAUCUGGUAACAAUAAACCAAACAAAUCGUAAAACUAAGCUCCUAAAGUAAAGGAGAAUUAUUCAAACUUAGCAACAAAAAAUUAAAUGGCAGCAAUUUUAAACAUGUGAUCUCAACACUUUCUUUAUUUAGAUGCUGCAAACUCCAAGUUUCUUCCUGAAGCUUUCAAACUUGCUAAGUGGCAAUGGUUUGGUGAAGAUAUCUGCAAUUUGAUCUUCAGAUUUGCAGUAACAAAGAGACACAUCACCACUCUUUUGAACUUCUCGAACAAAAAAUAACUUGAUGUUGAAAUGCUUAGUCUUCCCAUGAAAGACUGGAUUGUUAGAGAUUGCAAUGGCAGCUUGGUUAUCAACUAGAAUCUCUGUGCUUUGCUUCUGCUCCAUGUUUAGAUCAACAAGAAUCUUCCUUAACUAGAGAGUUUGGUUAACUGAUGCUGUUGCAGCCACAAAUUCUGCCUCAGCAGUGGAUUGAGCUACAAUUUCUUGCUUCUUCAAGCUCCAAGAGAACAUGCCUGAUCCAAGGCAAAAACAAUAACCAGAGUUACUCUUCAUAUCAUCAGUUGAGCCACCCUAAUCAUUGUCAGAGAAACCAAUUAACUUUAAUUCCCUGUGCUUUAAAAACUUCACUCCAUAACUCCAGGUCCCCUUGAUGUAUCUGAUAACUCUUUUUGCAGCUUUCAUGUGAGUCUCAUUAGGACAAUGCAUGAAUCUAGAGAGAAUACUUACAACAUUCAAGAUGUCGGGUCUGGUUGCUGUUAAGUACAUUAGACAACCUACCAAACUCCUAAACUCAGCUUCAAUGACUUUGGCAGAACCAUCAUCUUUGAUUAGCUUCUCUUUUUUAUUCAUAGGAGUGCUCAUUGCUUUUCAAUAUUCCAUAAGAAAUUUUUUAAGUAUCUCCUUUGCAUAGUUUCUUUGACAGAUGAACACUUCAUCUUGGCAUUGUUUGAUCUCAAUGUCAAGGAAAUAAGACAUCAGACCAAGAUCUGUCAUUUCGAAGACCUUUUUCAUUUCCAAUUUGAACUGAUUAACUUGAUCGAGAUUGCUGCCUGUAAUCAAUAAGUCAUCUACAUAAAGAGAAAUGACUAAAGUGUUUGUACCUUCAUGCUUUACAUAUAGUGUGAGCUCAGAUUGACUUUUCUGAAAGCCAAUGCCCACCAAAUGAUCAUCAAUUCUGCUAUACCAUGCUCGUGGAGCCUGUUUUAGGCCAUACAGAGCCUCUUCAGCAAGUAAACUUUGUCUUCAUUGCCUCUGUUUACAAAACCUUCAGGUUGCUCGACAAAGAUUUCUUCUUGCAAGACUCCAUUUAGGAAUGCAGAUUUAACAUCUAACUGAAAAACUUUCCAGUUCUUUUGUCCAGCAAGAGCAAGCAGUAACCUUACAGUGUCAAGCCUGGCAACAGGUGCAAAUGUUUCUGAAUAAUCGACUCCAAAGACUUGUGCAUAUCCCUUCACAACAAGUCUUGCUUUGAAUUUGUUAACUGAACCAUUGGGAUUUAGUUUCGUUCUGAACACCCAUCUUACUCCAAUUAUCUUUUUGUCCAAAGGUUGAUCAACCAGCUCCCAAGUUUUGUUUUUCUCAAUCAUCGAAAGCUCCUCUUCAUUGCAACCAUCCAAUGUUGACUGUUUUUUGCAUCAUGAUACCCUGCAGGCUCACAAAUAGCUACGUUACAUCUUUGGUAAAUGUCGGAAAGCAGCCUUGUACCUCUGACAGGUGUAUCAUCAGCCAAAACAUCUUGCCCUUCAUCUUCAAGCUCCUCUAAUGUGCUGCCAAUGGUAAAAUGAUCUGGUGCACUAGAAGCUUGGUUCGUCUUGGUCGAGUCUUCCCAAUUCCAUUGCUCAUUUUCAACAAAAUAAACAUCUCUGCUCACAAUAACAUGUCCAGUGUGUGGUUGAAAUACUCUGUAAGAUUUAGAUACAGUGCUAUACCCAACAAAAAUGCCAGCUUCUGCCUUUUUGUCAAGCUUAUCACGCUUGACCUGUGGAAUGUAAGUGAAACACAGGCAACCAAACACUCUAAGGAACUUUAAAUAAGGUUUGUAACCCUACCAAGCUUCAAAUGGCAUCUAAUCCUUCACAGCUUUUGUUGAAAUCUGAUUUUGCAAGAACACAGCAGUGUUUGCAGCUUCUUCCUAAAAGCCUUUUGGAAGAUUCUUCUCAUAAAGCAUACACCGAGUCAUCUUCAUUAUGAAUCUGUUCCUCCUUUCACUGACUCCAUUUUGUUAUGGAGUGUAUGGCACCGUCAACUGAUGCUCAAUUCCAGCCUCUUCACAAAACCUAUUAAAAGUUUCUGAAGCGUACCCCUUGCCAUUAUCAGAUCUUAAAAUCUAAAUCAUGCAUCCACUUUCAUUCUCAACUUUGGUUUUGAAUUUCCAGAACACACCAGCAACUUCUGAUUUUUAUUUCAAUAAGAAAAUCCAACACAUUCUUGUUAGAUCAUCAAUAAAGGCUAUGUAAUAGAGGUUACCGUUUAACGAUGGCAUUCUCUGAAGACCACAAAGAUCGGUAUGAACAAGCUAUUCGAGGCUCUCCAGGCUUGUUUAGGAAAGGGUUGUCUAUGUUGUUUCCCAAAUUUGCAAGAUCGACAAUGAGGUAGAUCAUCAUCAAUGUCUAUAAGUCCUUCUACCAGCUUCUUUGACUGCAUUUGAAGCAAUCCUCGAUGGUGAAAGUGCCCAAGUCUCUUGUGCCAAGUCUCAGUGGCACUAACUCUGGAUUUAAAAGCCAUUUGCUCCUUUUCCAUUGGAUUAAGAUAAAAAAAUUUUCCCUUCAUUUUGACAUUAAACAAGUCUCUGCCAUUAGCAUCUCUGAUCAAGCAUUGCUUAUUCUCAAAUAGCACUUUAUAGCCUUUAUCCAGUAACUGACCAACACUGAGGAGAUUUUGAUCAAUUUAGGUGCAAACAAAACAUCUGAAAUGAAUUUUGUACCUUUAUAGCUUGUAAUAGCUAUGCGCCUUUUCCCUUGACUUCCAAGUACUCAUCAUUUUCAAUCCUCACUAUUUUGACUUCAGUGUUUCUCAAUUCCUCGAAGAGCUCCUUGUCAUACGUCAUGUGAUUUGUGCACCCACUAUCAAUCAACCAUCUCUCACUUGAUUCUCUGCCUGAGAAACAAGUAACCACAAACAAUCGAUCUUCUUCUUCUUGAUCAGCUACCUGUGCAUCUACUUCUUGCACCUGGCCUUUGACCUUGCAAACCACUGUUUUAUGUCCAAGUUGAUUGCAUUUGGAGCAUUUAACGUCAGGUCUUUUCCAACAUUUGAAUGGUAAAUGACCUUUCUUCUCACAAUGGUAAUAAGGUGGGUAGGAUUUCUUGACACCUCCUCUUUUGCUCUUCUGAUAAUUGCCUGAUGAAUUUUCUCUACUCGUCGACUGGUUCCUAAAAUUUUUCUUCUUUUUAUACCUGUUGUUGUCUUGAUGCUUGACAAGUAAGGCACCUUCUAUCACUCCCUCUUGCCUCAUUAGUCUUCUUUGCCCUUGUGCUUGUAAAGCAUUCAAGAGCUCUGCAAGAGAGAUCUUUGACAGGUCCUUGGUGUUCUCCAGAGUAGUAAUGGUGGCUUCAAGCUUCUCUGGAACAGUAACCAGCAGCUUUUCUACGAUUCUAGAGUCAUUCAACUCAGAACCAAGCAAUCUCACCUUGUUGGCAAUGCUGAAAAGUCUGUCAGAAUAUUCUUUCACUGACUCAGACUCCUUCAUCUUCUGCAACUCAAAAUCCCUGAUUAGAUUUAGGACUUUCAUUCCACAAAUCCUCUCAUCUCUUGCAUACUCAGCCUUUAAGUAAUCCCAGAUUUCCUUUGCUGAUUUCAGAGACAUUAUUCGUGUGAAAAUCAUUUGAGACUCAGCUGCAAAUAAGCAAGCUUUUGCCUUUGAUUUCCUUGUCUUCUUUUCCUUUUAUGCUUUAAUCUGUGCCACAGUAGGAUUUGCUGAAAGUGGUGGGACCUCGUAAUCCGCUUCUACAGCUUCCCAAAGAUCCAAAGCCUCCAAGCAAGUCUCCUUACGAACUGCCUACAUCUGGAAAUUGUCUCCAUUGAAGACUGGUAGUGCAGCAACUGAAAAACUAGACUCUCCUUCCAUCUUAACACGCAAAUAACCUCAUAGAUCCCUUAAGAAAAUAGCUCCGAUACUAAUUUGUUGGUGAUUAGAACUCGAACUUUGAUGAUUGAUUGAGAGAUUUGAACUAGAAAGAAGAGAAAAGGAAGUUUUAAGAUAGAAAGUAAAUGAAGACUGGAAUGGUAAUUGAUUUGCACCUCAACGAUUUAAAUAAAAAAUUCAAGACUAAAAAUAGAAAAAAAAGGUUCUAAAAAUCUGCUAAGAAUCUGGUAACAAUAUACCAAACAAAUCGUAAAACUAAGCUCCUAAAGUAAAGGAGAAUUAUUCAAACUUAGCAACAGAAAACUAAAUGGCAGUAAUCUUAAACAUGUGAUCUCAACAGCAUGUUUGAAAAAAAAAAUAUUUUGAUUACUUACUUGCAUAUUUUUGAGGAUUUUGUGCAUCCAAUCUUGUGUUUAUUAUUUGAUUAAUCUCAGAUUGAUUUUUCUUAAACUAGUGGUUAUACUAAGGCUUGUUAGCGGAUUAAACUUUGGGCAAAGCAAUAUAGAUGUAGAUCUGUUUUCCGUGACGGGAUUUGAAUCUACUAAAAAAAAUUCCUACGCUUGAAACCAAAAUUAAAUUUUAGUAUAUAGAAUAGGGUCGAUCCCACAAAGGUUAAUCUAUCUAAAUCUAUAUUUCUUUAUAACUAGAACAUGUCCCAAGCAGUUUUUAUGCCCAUGACUUGUGCCAACUUGUACGAAAAACAAAAGGGAAUUAAAUCUGAAAAAUGAAUAAACAAAAAAUAUAAAUUAAUAAUGAAAAUGAAGUAGAAAUAAGUAAAACGAAAUUAAAAUUGAAUAAACCGAUAAAACAAAAGCUCUAGCUUCAAGCUUGAAGCUCGAUUUUGACUCUGUCUUCAAACUAAUCACAAAGAAUGAAUUUUUUCCUUCAUUAAUAAGUCAAUUGUAGAUACCAAGAAACAAGCUCAAACCACCUAAUUCUUUCAUAGUGGUAAAUUAAUUGCUGGAACAGCUCGACGACUAAGCCUUAUAAAGUGAAUAACCUUGAAAGCAGCAUUCGUGAUUUAAUUCAUUAGUAGCCUUGCGAACUAGAAGAACCUGGCUUAAAUCAACGACCUCAAUUGUAUGAGUCAUUUAAAAUUAAUUAUUAACUUCCUUGAUGGAUCCAACCACUCAUGUCAAUUUGUUCUUCAAUGGAUCUAAUACAACAAUUACAAUCACAUUGAUUCUCUAACUGUAUGUCCUUCAACACUAAACCAAGGGACUCUUCUUGAUUUUGAUGCUAAAAUAACAUUGAGAAGUAAUUGAGUUUAUCUUUUAAUUGGAGAAUUAACAAAUACCGAAAUGGAGAAUAUAAACACGAUUUUGAAAUUUCACCGUUCAAAUAUCGGAUCAAUUAUCAAUCUAAAACUAGGUUAAAUUUAACUUCUCAUAAAUUAAAAAACAAGAAAAGAAAAUCGUUGAAGGAGAAUAUUUAAUUGAAAUAAAAAACACUAAAAUAAAAUCAAAACAAUAGUUAAAUGAUAAGGUUGCUUUGAAACUGGAGUUGCCAUUUUCGUUGGAGGAGAUAAAAAAGGCAGUGUGGAGUUGCGAUGAGUCGAAAGCAUCUGGGUCGGAUGGCUUAAAUAUGUGCUUUUUUUAGAAAAUGUUGGGAUGUUGUAAAAAAUGAACUUUUUAGAAUGAUACUAGACUUUUUUAGAUCUAGAAAGCUUGAGAGGAGCAUCAAUUCUUCAUUUAUUACACUCAUAUCCAAAACCAAAAAUCCAAAUAAAAUAUCAGAAUUUAGACCAAUUUUUUUGGAGAGCUCGUUGUACAAGAUAGUGGCAAAGGUGUUAUCUCGAAGAAUUAGGGAGGUUGUUGGAGAGGUAGUGAGAGAAACACAAUGUGCAUUUAUCAGAGGUAGACAAAUAUUCGAUGAAAUUUUAAUUCUAAAUGAAAUUAUCCAUUCGAUUAAAAAGAAAAAUGGUAUGGGGGCAAUCUGAUUUUUAAACUGGAUUUUUCUAAAACAUAUUAUUGUGUUUGUUGGGAUUUUUUUGAGUUAGUUUUACUCAAGAUGAGAUUUGGCCAGAAAUGGAUAGGAUGGAUUAUGGAGUGUGUAUCUAUGGUGAGAGUAGCAAUAAUUAUCAACGGGUCAACCACAAAUUAAUUUAGAUUCCGCCGAGGUCUCCGUUAAGGACAUCUGUUAUCUUUAUUUUUAUUUAUCCUAGUGACGAAAGUGCUAUAUUUGUCGAAGGAUAAAGUAGUGGAGAUGGGGCUAAUUUAGGGCAUUCAAGAUGUUAUUCCCGUGCAGAUUUUUUCUCAUUUACAAUUCGUGGACGAUACUAUACUAUUCUUGAGAGGAGAUGAAGAAGACGUGAGAAAUGAUAAGUAUAUUUUACGGUGUUUUAAGAUCUUUUCAAGUCUUAGUAUCAAUUUCAAAAAAUCAUGUUUAGUAGGAUUUGAUGAGAAUGAAGAACUCUUAUAUCAAAUGGCUACAAUAUGUUAGUGUAAGAUAAGAUUUUUGCCUUUUAAUUAUCUAGGGAUUCCAUUGGGAGCAAAUCUGAGGAGAGUAUCCACUUGGGAUGCAAUUGUAGAGAGAUUCAGGAAGAAAUUAUCGGGAUGGAAAUGCCAUAUGCUCUCGUGGGCUGCAAGGAUUGUGUUGAUUAAUGUUGUUUUAUCUACCUUGUUGAUUUAUUUCAUGUGUAUAUUCCAAGCUCCAGUGACAGUUAUUAAAAGGACCGACAAGAUAAGGAGAAAUUUUCUUUGGGGGGGAGUAUAAAUGGUAAAAGGAAGAUGGCGAAGGCAAGCAGGAAACAUAUAUGUAAGCCAAAGGAGAAGGGAGGAGCGGGAGUGGUGAAUCUCAUAAUUAAAAAUAGAGCUUUAUUAGAAAAAUGGAGUUGGAGAUUCGCGGUUGAAAAAGAUGCAUUGUGGCAAAAACUCAUCCUAGCAAAGUAUGGUUCGCGCCCGCAACAAUGGCACUUUAGGACGACUAAUCUAAAAGUUAUGUCGAUUGUAUGGAGAGGUAUUGUAGAAAAUUCUAAAGACGCUAAUGGUUCUAAAUGGGUGGGGAACGAAGCUUUUAGAUGGAUGGUUGGGAAUGAAAGGAUGGCGGUGUUUUGGGAGGAUAUUUGGUCCUGUAGUCAACCACUAAAAAUGGAAUUUCCUAGAGUGUUCCGCUUAGCAAGACGAAAGAAAGGUAUGGUAGCAGAUUGCUCGAGCAACAAUGGUUUCACCACCAAGAGUGUGAAGUUUUCUAUGGAUGCUUGCUAUUGAUAGAAUUCCUACAAAGGAAUUUCUCGUUAAAAGAGUAGUGUAGCUUCAACACAUUUCGAUCGAAUGUCCAUAGUGUGAAAGAGUACCAGAGAGAGCAUAUUAUCUAUUCUUCAAAUGGAAAUAUAUUGAAAGGUUCUGGUAUAAAUUUUUCAAAUGGUGGGAGGUUGAAUGGAAUUCGAUAGAAGGAUUUGCUGAUUUUUAUUCUUUGUGUUAUAACGUGAAACUGUUAGGAGCCCGAAAAAGUUUAUGGUUGUUAUCGAUUUCGAUAGCUUGCUAGUCAGUGUGAAUAGCAAGAAAUGAAAUUGUCUUCGAAAGAAAGGUGACGACUAUGGAAGCUUUGAUAUUUCAAUCCAAGAUGAGGGCAAAGUUGUGGAUAAGGUUUGUAUAUAUAUGAUGAGUAAAUGGUGCAAGAGAGCUCUUGGUGGAUUUGUCCGAACAAGUGCAAAUUUGAUACAAUUAAACCAAAUCCUCUUCGUCGAUAUGACGCCCUCCUCCACAAGGCUAUCCAAGUUUCAAUGUAUGUGGGAUAGAAAAUGAGGAAGUUACAGGUUGUGGUGGAGUACUAAGAGAUAUAGAGGGUGUUGCAAGAGCUUUAUUUUCGGGUCCUAUUGUAGCUAAUGACACAAAUUCAACAGAGGUAGGGGUAGUGUUUAUAGCAUUGGAUUUGUUCUUAUCCAUGGGAUGGAAGAUUAAUAGCUCUCUUAUUGUAGAAAUUUGUUCAAAAAUGGUGUACAAUUGGUGUCUGAACAAGGAUAUGAGACCGUGGUUGUUACAAACAACAUUUUCAGUUAUUGAGAGGAAAAUUGAGCAGGUUGGUAGUGUAGUAUUCUCGAUGGCAGAUCAAAAACGUAAUGAAAUGGCUUCAACCUUGGCAAUAGCAGGUAUUAAUCGUGGUGACAUGUUCAAAGCUUGUUAGUGAGUAUUAGCUUUGAUGUUGAAUAUUAGUUUUCGAUUGUAGGAAAUGUUUCAUUGUGGUAUUUUGUAACUUGUUUCUUUUAAGUGUUGUUCUUGUUGUAUUUACAACAGAUUAGUUUGAAUGAAGCAAAAAAAAAAAAUUUUGGUGGGUACCGUGUGCCCCCUCUCUUCACGCCUUACUAUAUAAUAAUAAUAAUAAUAAUAAUAAUAAUAAUAAUAGACAAGCUUAAGAAUAUAAGAAGCCUUUACUCAUUCCCUAAGAUAAAAUUUAAUCCUCAUUAAUAUCUUAAAGAGAAACAUUUUUCCAUAAAAAUAAAAAUAAAAAAUAAAAUAAUCCUAAAUUUUAAAUGUCUUAUAUGUCAACUUCUCAAUCCAACUAUAAAUUUACUUUUUUAUAUUGUACUCUAACACUUCGAACAUGUGCUAUAUUUAUAUAGAAAAUAGUCAACAAAGUACCAAAGUAGUAGCAUCCAUGUCCAAAAUUAAUCAGAAUAAAUCAUUAAAAAAUAUCUAUUAAGAACAUUAUCACCCCCCUUAAUCAAUACUUGCCCUUAAACAUUUCAUGCAUUCAUCAUCUAAACAUAUCACAAUCAUCCAAGCCAUUUCUUGCAUUCAUCAUCUAAACAUAUCACAAUCACCCAAGCCAAUUCAACUUUCACAGUCCUCAGUUCAAUAAAAAAAUAAGCAUUAUCAAAAUUUUGACCGUACAACCGUCUCCCUCAAGCAAGCACAUAGAUUAACAAUUUAUGAUAAGUGCUAAAAGUAACAUAUUUUAACCUCGUUUUGUAACAUCUUGGAAUUUGGGGUUAGAAGUUUUGAGGUUUGUAGUGAGGGUCAGCAAGUAGGUUGAACAAUUGGGUUUAUUUUCGCGUUUUAACAUCAAAAUGAGUUUACUAAUUUGGUGGUAGAGUAUGUUACUAGUUUGCCUUGGUCUAGUGUUUGAAUCCCGAUGUGAGAAUAAAGGAAGUUUUAUUUUAAAUUUGUUUCUUUUUGUGUUAACUUAUUUUUAUUUAGAUUUUUUAUUUGAAAAAAAUAGAAGAAAAUCCCAAAAAUUUCUCACGUUUUCCACUUUCUCUUCACAUCAGUCUUUCUCCUUCUUCCAGUAAAUAAAAAUUAUAGAUUUUGAUUUUCUUUCUUUUUUUAUUGGGUUUCAAUACUUUUGUAAACCGCUGCCUUCAAAUACUAGUGGUGCUUUUGUUCUUCGUUUGAUCAGACGUCGAAUCGGGUGAGUGUAGGGAUCAUUUUGUAUUUAGGUUUAUGCGAUUAAUUCUUGGUAAUUUGAUAUAAGGUUUAGGUCGGAAAUUUUUGUAGCUUUAGUAUGUUUGCGGAACUGAGUUUCAGGUUGUUACAGUAAAGGCCAAGUGGUCGAUUCUUGGUGCUCUAAAACAUCAUUCAGGUGUGUGUUUUGAAACUGUUUAAUUUCAGUAUUGAAUUACUGUUGGAUUUUAUGGAAUUCAGCAGUUUCUAGUGUGUUUCUAAAAUUGUGUGAAUUCAGUAAUGAAUUGCUGCUGGAUUUUGGGAAAAUCUACAAAAUUCUUAUGUGUCUUGAAUGGUUUGUGAUUAGGGUUCAUUUUGCUAUUGCAAAAUUGCGAUUUCAACUUGUUUCAAUGUGGUUUCAUGACCAUACUGGUGGGCACACGAGUGUGUGCAGCACACAGGUGUGUGUAGCACAUGGGUAGUCCACACAGUCAUGUAACAUUGGGAAUUAGGGAUUUUGGAUGUUUUUUAGUGCCACACGGUCGUGUGGUGGCUAUUUGGGGAUUUUUUUCAUUUUUCACAUGGACAUGUGCCUUCGACACACGGUCGUGUCCCUUAGCCACACGGGUAUGUGAGAUUCCCACACAAGCGUGUCUACUAUGCUCCUUAUUUUGACACUUUUGGACAAUGAGUUACGCGGAUUAUCAACACGGCCAUGUAACUCGGUCACACUGAUGUGUCUCCUCCAUACGAGCUUGUGUAGCUUGCACAUGGGCGUGUAAACCACCACAUGGCCUAGUAGACCUCCACACGACCUAGUCACUCCCACACGGACGUGUGGCUCUGUUUUGGAAAUUUUUGUUUUGUGUUAAAAUUUGGCUCGUUUUGUGUUUCUGUAUGUUUCGACCCUCAGUUAAGCCUUGGUAACUGUAUUGAGGACUCCGCUAUGAUAUGGAUUUAAAUGUGUAUGUGUGUGUUCAGUUUAGGUAAUUGGGAAAUGUAUUAAUGUGUAUGUGUAUGUGUAUGUGUGUUUUGCAAAUUUUUGUUCUGUGACAAUUGGUAUUGGACUAAGUUUUAAAGCUACUAGUUGAGAUGAAAAAAGGAGUAAAAGAGCAGAUUGAACCCAGAGAGACCCAUGAGAGGGGCAGAAAAGAUAGUAGAUCGAGGGAUAUGCUGUCGACUUUGAAAGGUCAAGUGACUAAUCUCGAGGAAUCCAUAAUUUGAGUUCUUGAACUCAAAAUAAGAGAAUUUAACGUGCAUUUUGAAAUUAAGAAAUCGAUAUUUUAUUAGUCAGAAAAAAUUUUAACCCAAAAAUACUUAAACCCUAUCUAAAAUUAUAUUAUAAAUAAACUAAUUUUUCAAAUUUAAAAACUGAGUAGUUCAAUAAACUUGAAUUAAUAAAUUUUCCCUAUUUGUACAUUUAUGACCACACAUGAUAAUGGGUAAGAUAAGGUCCUAACGGACUUUGUUUAAUAUAUAAAGGUAAGUGAUAAUUGUAGCAAUUCUUGCUACUGGAGCAUAGGUAUCAAUGUAAUCAAUACCUUGUUUUUGUGUAAAACCUUUGGCUACCAACCUUGCUUUAAAUUUAUCAAUGGUUCCAUCGACCUUCAUUUUCUUUUUGAAGAUCCAUUUACAACCUAUUAGUUUGGAACCUGGUGGAAGAUCAACUAAGAUCCAUGUUUGAUUUCCCAUUAUUGAAUCCAUCUCAUCAUUUAUUGCUUCCUUCUAAAAAGUAGAGUCUUGAGAUUUCAUUGCCUCUUCAAAUAUAAUAGGAUCAGAUUUCGUAUUAUAAAAAUAAGGUAUCUUAUUGCAUAUACAUUCACCUUUACCUUCUACAAGAAACAUAAUGAAAUCUGGUCCAAAAAUUUUUGACCUUUUAAUCCUCUUACUUCUUCUUAAUUCUUGAGAAGAUUCAUCAUCAUUAUCAAUUUGUUCCAAUGGGAUCUUUUUCUCAUUUGAACAAUGAAUCAAUUGUUGUGGCUGUAAUUGUAACAACUCGGUUUUAGUUAAAUUAGAACAAUGGUUUUGAAACCACAAAUCUGAGGUCAAAAAUUCAUUUUAAUAUUAUUUUUGGUAUUUACAGCAUGUGAUUAUAUAUGUGUAAAAGUUUCGUCAAGAAAUUUUACUGUUUGAAUGCUUAAUUCGGCAAAAGGACUAAAUUGCGUAAAAUGUAAAAGUUGUGUUCUAUAAGCUAAAGGUGUCUAAGAGCUAUAGAACAUUAAAGUAAAGGUCCUUAAGUGGUAAAUAGGAUAUUUAUGAGUUAGUGUAUGAUAGUGGAGUGACAUUUGGUAUAAUUACUAAUGUUUUUAAUGGUAAAAUGGUAAAUAAGUAAAUUAAUGAUAAAAAAAAAAAUUUAAAGCCACCAUCUUUAUUCAUCUUCCCCAACCGAAAUUUACAGCAAUAAGGAAGGCUUUGGGAGCUUGAAACUUUUGGUUAAUAAAUCUCUUGUGUGUAAGUGAUUUUUAAGCCCGUUUUUGAUAAUUUUUAUGUUUUUGAGAUUGUUGCUUCAUGUUCUAGCUAGCCCAUGCCCUAAUUUUUGAAUUGGUUUGAUGAAUUUGUGAGUUACCAUUGAUGAUAGAUUGAUGUUUUUGAAUGUUGAUGAUGGAAAAUGAAUAAUUGUUGAUAGAUAAAUAUGUUUUGUAAAGUGAUUUUUGGCAAAAAUGUCAAAUGGAGAUAAAUUGUGAAAUAUGCCAGUUGAGUGGUUCAAAUGUGAAAUAAAUAAAAGUUUUGGUCUGCUAGGGGCACUAUAGUAAUUCGGCUAAGCUUGGGUUAUAUUGAAUUGUGUAAAUUUUGUAUAUUUGUCAAAUAGGUACUAAAUUGAAUAAAUGUGAAACUUUAGGGGCUAAAGUGCAAAAAUUUUCAAAUAGGUAUUUUUGGAUGAAAUUGAAUGAAUAGGUGAUUAAAUGAGUUAAAUUUGAAUUCACGUAAAUCAACAAAGAAAGAAAUCAGAUUUAGAUCGGGGGAAAUCGAAAGUUGACGAGUAGUUGAUCCGAUCCGUUCGUUUCUGUAUGAGGUAAGUUCAUAAGUAAAUAAAUAUUUUUGAAUUCAAAUAUAUAUGUUUUGUAUAUUGCCGAAUUGAUUUAUAUGUAUAUAUAUACAUUGUCGAAUUGAUUUGUCUAUGUAUAUAUAUAUUGCCGAAUUGAUUUGAGCAUUGGAUGACUGGUUUCGUGCAUGUAUUGAUUUAAUUACGAAGUCGAAAGCUCCGAAUGAAUCUUAGGAAAUGUAUAGGAUGAUGAUUUCAUGAUAUUAGGACUUCCGAGGUGUGAUUUCGUGUAAGACCAUGUUUGAGACAUUGGCAUCGAAGUGAGAAAAUCUAUAAGACCAUAUCUGGGAUAUGGCAUCGGCAUUGAUUUAAGAUCCCGUAUAAGACCAUAUCUGGGAUAUGACAUCGACAUCGAUUCGAGAUCCCAUAUAAGACCAUAUCUGGGAGAUGGCACUGGCAUUGAUUUGAGAUUUCGUAUAAGACCAUAUCUGGGAUAUAGCAUCGUUAUGAGACUUCGUGUAAUACCAUAGCUGGGAUAUUGGCAUCGAUAUGAGAUUUCCAUGUAAGACCAUGUCUGGGACAUGGCAUUUGUACGAUACAUUAUGUACGAGUUUUCCCGAGUAUCCUUAGUAUUCCAAGUGGUUCAACAGGUAAUCCAAAGAUUAUGUCAAAGAAAAGACAAGGUAUGAUCAUAUUGAAUGGAUACAGGUAUGUACGAAAAAUUCAUGAGUAAUGAACUCAAUGUAUUUUGGACAUUUGAUAAGAAUGUAAAUGAGUAAGUCAUACUUGUAAGAAUGAUAUUGUGAUGACCUUGUGAUUAUAGGUCUAUACUUAUGAGGUAUAGAUUUGUGGUAAAUUUGAUUGAUGAUUGUGCGAGGCUUUUAGGCCAAAUUAAAUUGAGACAUGAUAUGUUUAAGUCUUUGUUGUUGAUGUAUAGGUGAAAUUGGCCAAUGAUUGGCAUGUAAAUAUAUGAUAAUGAUUAGCUAUUGGAAUGGCUAGUUAUGGAUAUGUUUUGGUGUUAUGUGUGUCUAAAUAAAUGUUAAUACAAAGAAAUCAUGAAAGAGUAAAAUUUGCAAUAAAAUAGUUUUGGACAACAGCUGUUGUAUAAAUUUGAAAAAUCACCAAAAAUUGUAGGAAUUGCAUUAGAGGUUGAAUAAGACAUUAAAAUGAAUAUUAUUGAGUCUAGUUUCACAUAGAAGAAACGGUGUAAGCAAAAAAAUAUGAUAUUAUGAGAUAUUUGAAUUUUUGUGAGAUAAGGUUAGAAUGAUUUCGGAAUCCCCAAUUCUGAUUUUGGAAAAUUAUUAAACAUUGUAUAAAAACAAUUAUGGGUUAUAAUUUAUAUGAUUAAAAUUCUUAAUGAGUCUAUUUUCAAUAGAAACAAACGGGAAUAUCAUUCUUAAUUUUGAAAAUUUUAUGGUAAGAAGAUAUGUGAGUCUAGUUUUGGUAAAAUCAAGUGGAUCUUAAUUUGGAGUUCUGUAGCGCAAGAUAUAAAUAAUUUAGGUAAAAUCAAGUGGAUCUUAAUUUAAAGUUCUGUAGCACAAGAUAUAAAUAAUUUAGUGACUAUCACUUGAGUAGACAGCUUGAUGUAAACAUGAGUAAAUAGUGCAACUCUGUGCAAUUUUGAUUGUAUUACCUUGAGAUAUGUUGUGAGGAUUGGUAAAAGCAUGCUAACAGAUUUCUUAUUGUUUACUUACCAACUUACUAAGCUAUAUAGCUUACCCCCUUUCUUUCUUUUUCCUAUAGUGUCACAGAUACUAGCUCGGGUUGGAGAUCGUCGAAGAUUCUAUCACACUAUCAAGCUAUUGAUCGAUAUCAACAUAUUCAAACAUUUUAAGUUUAUGGCAUGUAUAGGGACUCAGUCAUUUUGUGUAUGAGUUAUUAUGUUUUGGCCAAAUGUUUUGGUUUGUAAUGGUUAAAGGUUUGAUUUUAUGUGUAGCCAUGUAACUUGACUUAUAUUGGCUAAUUGGUUGUAAGCCUAUAUAUAUAUUAAUUAUAUGCCAAUGUCUUGUGAUGUGAGUUGCGUUUGCAUGAUACAUGAUGAGUUGUGGGUAUGGCCUAAAUUCCUAAUGGUUGUAUGUGCUGCAAGUCUUGAUGUCCAAUGGCUAAGUUUUACUCAAUGGUAUGGUAUGUUAAUUAGAUAUAAUUAUGCUAGUAUAAGAGUUGUUGAUGAUGUAUAUGUAUAAAUAGUUUUAAAUUGAAUGAAAUUUUAUGGCCCGGUUUUGUAUGGUUGCUUAUGUUUAAGACAGGUAAUGCCUCGUAUCCUGUCCCGACGUCGGACACAGGUAAGGGAUGUUACAGUAAUUGUCUUGAUAUAAAAUUAAAUCUAUUUUAAUCAAAAAUAGCAUCUCUUGAUUCAAUAACAGUAUUAAUUGAAACUGAAUCAUUUGGUUCAAUUACCAUGAACCUAUAUGCCUUGCUAUUAUGUGCAUAACCUAUAAAUAUGCAUUCAAUUCCUCUUUCACCUAACUUUUUACAUUUAGGUGUUGGAACUUUGACAAUAGCUCUAUAACUGCAAACCGUCAAAUAAUUAAUGUUUGGUUUCCUUUUCUUCCAUUGUUCAUAGGGGGUUAUUUUAGUUUCCUUAUUAGGAACUCUAUUCAAUAUAUGACAAGCUGUUAGAACAGCUUCUCCCCAAAAACAUUAUCCAAGACUUGAAUAUGAUAACAUUGAAUUUACCAUUCUAGUUAAGACUUUAUUUUUCCUCUCAAGUACGCCAUUUUGUUGUGGGGUGUAAAGGGAUGAAACUUGAUGGACAAUUCUAGUGGAUUCAAAAUAACUUGGAUUAUAGUAUUCUCCACCUCUAUCUGAUCUUAAGCACUUGAUAAAUGAUUCACACUGAAGUUCAACUUCAGAUUUAUAACUUUAAAUUUAUCAAACGCUUCAUCUUUUGAAUGCAAUAAAUAUGCAUAACAAUAUCUAGAACAAUCAUCAAUAAAAGUAACAAAAUAUUUCUUUCCACCUAACGUAGGAGUAUUAUGCAUGUCACAUAAAUCAUUAUUUAUCGAAUCAAGCAAUUUUGUUUUCCUUUUAACCUUAGGGAAAGGGUUUCUUGUAAUUUUAGUCAACAUACAUGUAUUACAUUUUUCAAUAUUAUUAUUAAAAAUAUGAAUUAAAUUUAACUUAUACAUGUCAUUCAAUUUUCUAUAAUUCAAAUGACCUAAUCUAUAAUGCCACAAAUAAAAAGAUUCAACCAUUUAAGUAGAAAUAGUAUUUUUAUUCUUGAGUUUGAACAUACUCAUACAUAUACCCUUUCCCCAUAAAAAUUCCUCCCUUAGACAAAAUAAACUUAUCUGCCUCAAAAACAAGUUUGAAACCAAACUUAUUCAACAAACUUUCAGACACUAAAUUCUUCCUAACUUCUGGUACAUAAUAUACAUCAUUUAAGGUUCAAACUUUUCCAGAAGUGAAUUGUAGUUCAAGAAACCCUUUGUCUUUGAUUGCUGCGGUGUAAGAAUUUCCCAUGUACAAGACAUUGUCAUUUUCACAUUGUGUGAACUUUGUGAACAUGCUUUUGUCUUUCACACAUGUUUGGUUACUCCGGUAUCAAUCCACUAUGUAUUAUCAUCUUGUGCCAUAUUAAUUUCAAAUAUCAUUGCAACGAACUUUUCGUUAUUAUCAGCAUUAGAAGAUGAUUUCUUCCUUAAAAAUCGACAUGCAUUCUUGAAAUGUCCUAGCUUUCUACAAUGAUAGCAUGAGCCUUUUUGUUCCUUUUUGAACUUAGGUGCUCUAUCAGUCUGUUUGAACUUUCUCUUCAAUGGUUUAGUAGUUUGAACUUCCUCCGUAACAUGCACUUUGGCAUUUUCAAAAUUUAGGUUAUGAUCUUGUUUUUGAUAUUCUUCUUCAAUACGAAGAUGAUUUGCCAAAGCCUCAAGAGAUAUUUCCUCUUUCUUAUGUUUUAGACUUCUUUUAAAGUCUUUCCAAGAUGGAGGAAGUUUGUGUAUUAUGGAGGAUACAACAAUCAUUUCAUCCAUUUUCAUAUCAUAUUGUUUGAACUGAUUUAGCAUCUUUUCAAUAUCAUGGAAUUGUUCCAUAACAGAACGACCAUCAACCAUUUAAUAAUUAUUGAAACGACUGACAAGAAAUUUCUUACUUGUAACAUCUUCGGUCAUGUAUCUUGUCUCCAAUUUUUCCCAUAAUUCUUUAGCGAUGACCUCGUUUUGGCAGGUGUCGAACAAACCAUCAAAUAAACCAUUCAAUAUGUGGCCCAUGCACAUGUAAUCAGCAUUGUCCCAUUUUUGUUUUUCUAUAAUUGUAGCAACAGAUUAGUUAUCAUUCUCUUUAGGUUUAGGAGUAUCCAAAACAUAAGCAAUCUUCAAAGUUGAUAAUAAGAAGUGCAUCUUUUUUUGCCAUCAUCGAAAAUUGCCACCAUCAAACCGAUCAAGUUUGACAAAGUUGGAAGCCAACUCCCUUAGUAUUCCACUUUCAUGUGUUAUGGUAGUCAUCAUGAAUUAUAGAACCUUAAAAUUGUUAGUACAAAACUCUGGUGAAGAAAAUCUUGAACACACGAACAAAACUCGAACAAAAAAAAGAAAUAGGACAAGGCUCCAAGGCGUGUAUCAAGUCACUAUCUUUAAGGUUAUAUUCACCCCCACCUAUAUUCGGUGUGCAAAUGAGUUCCAAGAAAAUUAACCUCAAGGAUACAAUGAAGCUAAUGACUAUUUACAUUUUGGACUGACGAGAACAGCCCACUACACACUGAGCAAUGUAUGACAAGAAACUCAAUUUCUAUAAAGGAUUUCUAUUGAACUGCACAAUUAACAUACACCAAUAUGACAUCACCACAAGAAGAGCACACUUUACUAAUGAUAGAAAACCAUAGCCCAAAGCAGAAAACAAGAAGUGAGAGAGCAAGUUAUAUCUUAAAACAAACACUACUACGAAACCCUUCUCAACAUGGAAAACACCACAUCAGAAACUAUGACAAAUAGCGGCUCCACCCAUAAUCCAAAACCAAGCAACUAACUAUAGUGAUCACCCUUGCUAAAAAAACCUUUACAUAAAUCAACGAGCAAGCAUUGGACUUCACCCCAAGUAAGAAAAUGAUCCAUCAAACCUUGAAAAAGCUUUAGACACCAUCACUUAUCAGUAGAUAAGAAACCUAAAAUAGAGCCAACACCAGCAACACCUUAUCAAGACCAACAGCUAGAAAAAAUCUCAAUGGAACCGAUAUCAAAGGAAACUCAAUGUCAUAUCGGCUUCCAUAAAACUUUCAAACCACCCCACUAUAGCUCUUAAGACUGACGAUAACCGUACUUUAAAAUCACCAAAGCAUCCACUUCGAGAGACACCUUCAAUCAUAACACAAUGAAUAGACUCAAAUUCAAUUCUAUAAUCACAACAUACCAAAAAAGACAGAAGCCAUUUUCAAUAAAAUAACAGCCUCAACCGAUCAGUAGGCCAUAAAAGGCACAAAACACCAUAAUGCAUCAUCCAACCUCAGCAACAUACAAAUUGUUUAUCAUGGUGUUAUAAUCAAUCUUGGGUUCAAACCCACUAUAAGUAUAUUUUUAUUGGUUUCUGUUAAAAUAAAAAGACUAAAAUACUCAAUUAACUUGUGACACCAACUUAGUUAGGAGCUUAAAUAAUAAUAAGUAUAGAUACAAUUGAUGAAUAUAAUAAAAUAUGCAUAUUAAAAUAAAAAUAUAUAAACGAUAUUAAAAUAAAGUUUUAAUGGUGAUAUACUUGAAGUUUUAUUAUUGUGAUUGUCUUAGGUUCAAAUCCCCUCAUAUUCAUUUUUAAUUAUUUUUUUUAAAAUAAAAAGAUUAAACUACCCUCGAACAAUAUAACUUAUUCUAAUUAUGAAAAAAUAUUUUCGUAAUUUCUCUAACUGAAUUGGCGACACCAAUUCAGUUAGGGACUUAAAUAAUAGUAUAGAUAAUAUAAUUUUUGGCCCUCAACUUGGGAAUUAGAUGCACUUUAAUAUUGUAUUAUUUUUUUCCAAUUUUAUAACUAAACUUGGCAAGUAAAUUCAAGUGGUCAUUGAACUUGGAUUCUAUCAACAUUUGAUGAUGUGACUGGUGUUAUUGAAACAAAAUCAGAUCAUUCGGUCAAAUUGACUGAACUGAAAAGCGAUUGGUAUAACGGUCCAAACAAAGGGGUUGAACUGAUUGAAUCGGAAAUUGGUCAAAAUUGACAAUUUAAAAAAUUAUUUUAACUUUAUUUUUAGAUUUUUAGGAAUUUUUAAUUAAUUAUUUAAUUAUUAUUGGUCUAGCAGUCGAACCGAUUGAAUAAGAAAUCAAUAGUUUUAUCUUUUAACCACCGGUCCGAUUAUUAAAACACUAGAUGCGAUACUGUGAGAUUGUAGCACAUCAUCACCUAAAAUUUUAUAUAAUUUUUUAAUUUUCAAGUGAUAUAUGUGAUCAUGUCACAUAAUCAAACUUUUAAAUUUUGUAUGUUCAGGGAUUAAAAUAGACCUAAUUGUUAAAUUCAAAUGAUAAAGUGGGCUAAAAAAAUCCUGGUAGCCAAUAAUAGAAAAAAUAUACUAUUUAAAAAAUAAUAAUUAAAGCGGACCCACUUGGUGAUAUUGCUCUUUUUCCAUAGUUCCCGACAAUAUUGUAUCCGUCUAUAUGUCUUAAAUAUGCUGCAACCAGCAAAAUUUGUUUUCUAAUAUUUGGCAAUUUUUACUUGCAAGACAACGAUGAAAAACACUUAAAUAAUCAGUACAGUCCUCCUCAAUAAUUGUAAGUCGUAAUAGACCUGAUAUUUUGGCUUAUAAUAAUGUCUCACAUUUACUUUCAUAUCUAAUCUUGAUGUUUUUAACAAUAGCGUAGAGUAGUGGACAUGCUCUUAAAUUAAUAAUAGUAAAAUUAUAUUUUAUCCUUAAAAAAAAUAAAAUUUAAUUUAAUUCAAUUCUUUAAAAAUUAUAAAGAUGUAUACUAUUAAAAAUUAUAUUUUGUUUAUUUACGUUAUCACGUGUUACCUGUGUAGAAAAUGAAGAUUUUGACAAUAAAAAAGAAUAGUGUGGUGAGAAUGGAGGGUUAGAAAGGAAUAAUGCUUCAUUAUUUUAUUCAUUCCCAAAAAGAGGGAUAUAUGAUAUAAGUAAAUGCAAGGAAUGAACGCGUAUAAAAUUUAGACAUGUUACUUAUCCACCUGAAUGGCAUCAUAGACUGGUGUUUUGGCUUUUAUAAUAUUAAUCUCUCACAUAUACGACCAACCUACCCUGAACAUAUGACGAACCCAUUUGCGUCAUUGCAAACGCAAUUUUGGUCCUUAUGCUAUAAUAAAGGAGGAAAUGGUUCUGGUUUAGAGAAGAAAAAUGAAUGCGCUGAUGAUGCUUCUAAUUCUUGCUCCAUGUUGCUUCUUCUUCAUAGCUUUAAUAAAGUUACUUUAUGAUUACCUAUGGAUACCCCUCCGUAUUCAGCAUAUGCUGAAUUCACAAGGGAUCAAAGGACCUCCUUACAGAUUCAUCCAUGGCAACAACAAGGAAGUUACCAAAAUGAAACAAAAAGCUUUAAGUAAAUCUGUGGGCUUGACAGAUGAUUUAUUUCCCAAAGUACAGCCACAUAUUUACACCUGGACCAACAGAUAUGGUAAGAUCCAUGCUUGUUUUUUUCAAUAUGAUUUAUAACUUGUAGUUCUAAGAAAAGGUAGACCCUUUUUCUUUUCAUGUUAUUAGGGAAGAAUUUUGUUUAUUGGAACGGUGCUCGAGCUGAAUUGGUGAUUUCAGAGCCUGAAUUAGUCAAAGAGGUUCUGAAAAAUAGUGAACAAAUUUUUCAGAAAAAGAAACUUUCAGAUAUUGGUAGGAAGUUCUUGGGGAAUGGGCUUAUAUUCAUUGAGGGGGAAAAAUGGGCAAAGCAUCGAAAGCUGGCCAAUCACACUUUCCAUGGGGAAAGCCUAAAGGUAAGUCUUCCAAAUAUAUAAACUAGGUGUAAUUAAUUUACAAGAAUUAUACAUAGACUACAAUAUUUUGGUAAAAUUUUGUAUUGUUAGCUAAGGAUAAAUUUAUUAUGGACGUUGAAUUUUAGACUUAAUGUUGUAAAAUAAAAGAUUGAGUAAGAGAUUUAAAAAAAUAUAUAAUUUCAUUAAAAAGCACUCUUUUAACUUAUUGACUUGGAUUAAAAUCUAGUUUGAAAAGGUGUUUAUUUGUCAAAUUGUUUAAUUUGAAAUCAUGAUUUUGUGUUGAAAAGUGUUUUUCUGACUCCAAUUAUAUAUGUCACUACUACUUACAUAUAGGAGGAUUGUUUGGGCAGAACAUGACUCCAGCAAUAAUUGCUAGUGUUGAAACAAUGCUAGAAAAGUGGAAAGGCCAAUAAGGCAAAGAGAUUGAACUGUACCAAGAAUUUAGGUUAUUAACUUCAGAAGUGAUUUCCAGAACAACAUUUGGUAGCAAUUACAUGGAAGGGGAGAAGAUAUUUGCCAUCUUGAGCAAGUUGGCAGUAAUUAUGAGUCGAAAUGUUUCCACGACUAGAAUUCCUUUGAUCAGGUAUCUUCCCUCUAAGCUUAAUUAAUCCCAACUUUUACCUUGAUUUCAACUAGCUUUUGAAUGCAACUUUUAGACUUUCAUUCCCCAUGGAUUUGGUUUUCUCCUUAUAUAUAGCUGACCCUGGUUUGCUUUUGCAGCAAGUUGUGGAAAUCUGCUGAUUUGCUAGAGUCUGAAAAACUUUCAAAAGAAAUAAAAGAUCGUCUGAUGAAGAUUGUUAAGAAAAGAGAAGACAAAGUUGUGAAUGGAGAAGUCAAUAGCUUCCGCAGUGAUUUUUUUGGAUUACUUCUAAAUACCUAUCAUGAUUCGGAUGCGAAAAACAGGAUUUCAUUGGAAGACGUGGUAGCUGAAUGCAAAACAUUCUUUUUUGCUGGACAAGAAACUGUUAAUUCCUUACUUGCAUGGAUAGUCUUGCGCAUUUGGCAAUCCAUGGAGAUUGGCAAGAAAAAGCGAGAAGAGAGGUGGUUGACAUAUUUGGUAACCAAAAUCCACAUCUCGAAGGCAUCGCCAAACUCAAAAUAGUAAGAAAACUAUCUAACUGGGAAUUCAAAUAGCCAUCGACAUGAUGUAAUCUGACAUAUUUUUCUAUUUUCCAAACAGAUGACCAUGAUCAUCAAUGAAGCUCUAAGAUUGUAUGGUCCAACAGGUGUCCUCCAAAGAACAGUUACAAGAGAAAUUCAGUUGGGAAAGCUACUCUUGCCUGCUAAUAUAGAUAUUCUGCCUUUAAAUAUUGGACUUCAUCGUGACCCUCACUUUUGGGGAAAUGAUGUGCAUCAUUUUAAACCUAAGAGAUUCGCUGAAGGGAUUGCCAAAGCUACCAAUUACACCGCGGCUGCCUUUUUCCCCUUCGGAUUAGGACCUCGAUCUUGUGUUAGUAUGACAUUUGCAAUGAUAGAAACCAAGAUUGCUCUCUCCAUGAUUCUACAACGCUACACCAUUAUCCUUUCCCCUGCUUAUGUCCACUCUUCAAUACUUAUUCUCAACUUUCAACCCCAAAAUGGAAUUCAAGUAAUACUUGAGCCGAAUACAUAGUAAUGCUUGAAGUACAUAGCCGUUAAGAACUAGAGGUUUAACAUGGUUCAUGUAUUUUACUUUUAAGAGAUGAUAUUUAAUAUGUUUAAAGGUUCUAGCAUUCAUCAUUAAAGACAAACGACUUGUGGCCAUGUUUACUUUUUAUCUAUCAUGCAAUGUCGAUAAGAAGAUAUCAUUUACCUUUUAGUUGGGUUAUGAAUUCUACUAUUGUGAAUGAUGUUACAUACUAUACAAGUUCUAUACCCAAUGCACCAACUUUCGGUUCUUUAUCUAUUUGAACUUAGCCUUUUACUUGCAUCAAAGUAUACGAGUCAUGCUUGUAUAGUCCACCAUCCACUCAAGAUUAAGGUAUAUCACACAAUGAACAUCACAAGUAAAUAGAUCCAUAAAUGGAUCUAGAAUCUAUUCUACUUGGGUCUUUUCUGAUGUAUUGUCAGUCCAGUCAAUCACAUCUAUGUCUUUAUCUUUUAGGAGUUAUCUGUUCCAUUUAAGACAAAGCAUCUCCACAAUUGGGUUUGAUAGACGACAUCUUAGUUUUUCAAUCGAUUUGCUCAAUUUUGAUUAGACUAAGGACAUAUUUAGGUUUAUAUACUAAUACAAGCUAUCUUUCCAUAUCAAGAUCUGACCACGUAAUACCGCUUAGUAUUAAUUUAAACAAUAGAUAACCAAUGAGCCAAUAUUUGCUUCCAUUUUGCUUUGUGUGCAAAAACAUUGAGGACAAUAUGCAAAGGGUAUUAAUGUAAUUAAUAGAUAUUAUUAAACCAAUUUGUUUGAAAAAUACAAUUAUAUAAAACGAAUAUAGUACACUUAGUGUACCAAAUCCAACAAUGGCCACUACAGCUAGCAUUGCCAUAAGCAACAUAACUUGACAUUUUUGGAGUUGAAAUCUUUUUAACAAAAUCAGUUGGGCAACGACUUAGAUGAUUUUGUGGACAUGUGUUGGCUCAUAUUUGAAGAUCCAUUUUGUGGAGCAAUCAAUCUGUUAAGAUUAAAUCAAUCUGAAUCAAGCAAAUCGGAUCACUUAUUUUGUGGAGAUUGGCUUGACUUAUUUUAAAAUUUAUUUUCGAAAUCUUUGAUUUAUUCUUAACUUUCAGGAUAUUUGUAAAAUUUGAUAACACUCUAGAAUAACGUAUUUUUAUGUAUUAAUUAUGUAUUUAUUUUGAAUAUGAUCCUGCUAAUUUGAGCUAUUUAUGAUAUUUUAUCUCAUAGGGACUAAAUUUGAGACAAAAGCAAAAUUAAGGGCCAAAAGUGUGAAUUUAGAGAUAAAAUGGGCCAAUGUGCGACACAAAUAAAAGUUGGUGCCAAAAGUGCAAGCAUGGAGGACACAAGGGUUGAAAUGCAAAAAAAAGAGAUUUUAUUCUAUCAAACUCUAUUUUAAUUAUAUUAGGAUAAUUAAUAUUAAGAUAAUUAUUAAGGAUUAUCUAAUUUUAGGAUUUUAUUUUAUUUAUCUUCAAUUAAAUGUAUUUAUCUUUUGGAGUUUAAGUAGGAUUAGACUAUCUCCCCUAGCACUAUAAAUAGGGGUAAAGUAACUCAAAAAUGAUGUAAACACUCUCUCCCCCAAAAGUCUAGGCUUUUGUUCUCCUCAUAUUUCCUUUCAAUAAAAUCUCUAUUUUUAUUUUAUUUAUUUUCUUUUUCACCACAACCAUGAGCCACUAAACUCAUCUAGCUGAAAGUUGUCGAUAUUUUCCAAAAAGGGUUCUCGAGGCCUAGAGUCCGUACUUAGCCUCCUCGCUGAGUAUUCAUUGUUUCUCUGCACUACGGGGCUGACGCUUCCGUCCAUGUCCCUUAAGAAGUAAGAUUUUCAAUGUAUGCAAAGGCGACUGCUUUGUAUGUUUUAGGAAGAUUGCAUAGUCAAUUCGUUAACUUACUGCGUUAGAGGUUAGUGAGCCCAAGAGACAAAAUGGCAUGGGAUUCACCAUUGAGAAUCGCUGAUCUAGCAUAAGACGAUCCCAUAGAAGCAAUUGUUGGCUAGAGUCAGGUUUCACUAAAUCGUAAGUCUAAAUCCUUAGAGCUGGUGGUCGUAGGCGUCCUCUUCCACUAUAACUGGCUUAUUCGGUUUAGGAAGGAUCAUCUAAAAGUUGAGGAUUGAACCCAAGGCGGAACGAGAAAGCUGGAGGUUAGAAUCUCCCAUAAGAAUUUUCUUUCUCUUAACUUUAUUUUUAAUUUCUCGAAUUUUUGAUUCAAUAUUCUUAAUUUUGUUUUUAUUUUAUUUUUCGUUUCCAGACCCAAACCUUUAAUUCUAUUUUUUUUAUUUUUUUUCCAGGAACGCAGGUUUUCUCGGGAAAGAUUCUGCCUGGGAUUUCACAAAAUAAGAUAUUGUGCAAAUCCAGUCCCUAAGGAUUUUACCUUACUUUCCUUUUACUAUUCUUUUUCAUUAUUUAUUAGGGAUAGGAUAUUUUUUGUGCUUUCAACAACCGCAUUAGUAAAGUUUUUUUUACGAGGCUAUUUUUUGUGGGAUAUUGAUUCGAAUUGAUCUUUAUCUUUGCAAACAUUAAAUUCUUAUAUAUUAGAGGCUUGUGUAAGUUAAAAUAAGAUAGAGUUUCUAUUGCACUUAUUUUUUUCAUUGAGGAACUUGUAAUUGAUAGUGCAUUAAGAGUGUAAAAUAAGUUUGUUGCUUGGUUUUACAGCCAAAAUUCUCAAGGGAAGAACUUAGUGGUGAAUGAUUUAGAUAUUUAGAUACAAAAGUGAGGUUGCUAUACCGAGUUGUGAUAGGACUUAAAUAACUUGUUGUCUUGGGAUUAAAAAUAAUGGAUUUACUCAUUAAGUUAGGUUCCAUAGACAUAGAAAAAUCGAUAUGCAUAAACAAUCAUUUGUGUUCUAUUUUUUGUUGUUGUGUUCAUCAUAGUGGCAUCAAAGGUUGCCAUUACAACCAUCACUUUGUCAUCAAUUACUCACUUUAUUUUUUUAAGCAAUUAUCAACUACAUGCGCCAAGAGAAUGCUUGUUUCCAGUACUAUUGAUCAAAAUUUUGUAGGAAGCAUAAUGACAAAAAAGGAAAUGAUUACAAUCAACCCCUUAUGUAACAAUUCCAUUUGUAUGUUUGCAUGUUAUAAAAUGGUGGUUGUUAUAUACUACAACAUGUUGUUAUAAAAAGAUAAUUAUUGUAAACCUAAAAUAGAAUUUACAUUGCGAAUUACUAUCAUAUAAAGAAGGUGGGAAUUAUAUUAAAAAAGGAAAGUAGAAACCAAUUCAACAAAAUUAAAAGAUGUAUAAUAGGUGCAUGCAUUAUUACCUUUAUAUUUUAUUUUACAUUUUUCACAUGAUUAAUCGAUAUGAGUUUAAAUUAAAUUAAUUAAUUUAUCAUGUGUCAUUAAAUUCAAGUAAUUAAUUUAUAAGAUUAUGAUGUUCCAAAUUUAUAGUAGAAUAUUUAAUUAGAGAACUUAAUAGUUUAUUGAAUUGAUAUCUUUAAUUCCACUCAUUGAAGAUUUUGUCAUGUGAAAUUUAAACAUUUUAUUAAAAUAAUAUUUUAUGAUUGUUUAUGAUAAACUUAGGAUUUUUAAUAGUGUUUAUAUAUGUAUUAUGUUAAGAUACAUAAUGAUAAAACUAGAGUUUGUGGUAUGUUUUGAGAUGAUAGGCUUCACGAUUAUGUGAUUUAUUGUCCUUAGCUAAUUCAAAUAUAGAUUAAUGAGGUUGGUUUAAUAUAUGUUGUAGGGAACAACGAAAAUGGGAAAAAAUUAAAUAUUACCCUAAAACAAAUUGAUAAUUAAUAUAGUUAAAUUAAAUCCAUUUUGUUUUGGCAAAUGAAAAUCAUUGGUUUAAAAGGUUUGAGAAUUGAGGAACCUUUGCAAAACAUAAUGCGAUAUCAUCACUGUUUAUAGGAGCUGAGUAUAAAUAUUCUCUUUUCAUGUCUUUGUUGUUGGGUUUUUAGGUCUUUUUGUGACAAUUAUCAUUCCUCUCAUUUCAAUAUUUAUGAUAAUAAUACCUGUAAAGCACGUUGGUCAUGUCUUAUUUUUACUAUUUAUGUAAACAUGAUUCCCGUAUAAACUAUACUAAAAUUCGUAUUAUUGUAGUACUUAUUAUUAAAGUUUCAGUCCUGUGACAAUUGGUAUUGGACUGAGAUUUGAAGCUACCAGUUGAGAUGACAAAAGGAGUAGAAGAGCAGAUUGAACCCAGAGAGACCAUGGGAGGGGCAGGAGCUAUUUAUAUAUUUUUGAGAUGUUGAUAUCUUCCAGAGCCAUUUAUGACCACACACGAUAAUGGGUAAGAUAGGGUCCUACCUGACUUAUGGUUUAUCUGUUUUGAAGGGGGAAAUGGUUUUGUUUUAGAGAAGAAAAAUGAAUGCGUUGAUGAAACUUCUAAUUCUUGCUCCAUGUUUCUUCUUCAUAGCUUUAAUAAAGUUACUUUACGAUUACCUAUGGAUACCUCUCCGUAUUCAGCAUAUGCUGAAUUCACAGGGGAUCAAAGGACCUCCUUACAGAUUCAUCCAUGGCAACAACAAGGAAGUUACCAAAAUGAAACAAAAAGCUUUAAGCAAAUCUGUGGGCUUGACAGAUGAUCUAUUUCCCAGAGUACAUCCACAUUUUUACACCUGGACCAACAGAUAUGGUAAGAUCCAUGCCUGUUCUUUCACUAUGAUUUAUAACUUGUAGUUCUAAGAAAAGGUAGACCCUUUUUCUUUUCAUGUUAUUAGGGAAGAAUUUUGUUUAUUGGAACGGUGCUCGAGCUGAAUUGGUGAUUUCAGAGCCUGAAUUAAUCAAAGAAGUUCUGAAAAAUAGUGAACAAAUUUUUCAGAAAAAGCAGCUUUCAGAUAUCGGUAUGAAGUUCUUGGGGAAUGGACUUAUAUUCAUUGAGGGGGAAAAAUGGGCAAAGCAUCGAAAGCUAGCCAAUCACACUUUCCAUGGGGAAAGCCUAAAGGUAAGUCUUCCAAAUAUAUAAACUAGAUGUAAUUAAUUUACAAGAAUUAUACAUAGACUACAAUAUUUUGGUAAAAUUUUGCAUUCUUAGCUAAUUUAUUAUCGAAGUUGAAAAGAUUCGUGAAAAGUAAUUUUGAAAAAUUUGACAGCAUUUACCACUUAAGAUAUCAAUUUUAGAUUUAAUGUUGUAAAGUAAAAAAUAAUUCAGAGAUUUAAAAAAGAAGUCAUUUCAUUGAAAAACACUAUUUUAACUUUUUGACUUAGAUUAAAAUCUAAUUUGAAAUAAAGUUUAGUUUGAAAUUUUGUUUGUUUGCGAAUUUUUCUAAGUUGAAAUCAUGAUUUUGUGUUGAAAAGUGUUUUUCAGACUCCAAUUAUAUAUGUCACUACUACUUACAUAUUGGAGGAUUGUUUCCGCAGAACAUGACUCCAGCAAUAAUUGCUAGUGUUGAAACAAUGCUAGAAAAGUGGAAUGGCCAAGAAGGAAAAGAGAUUGAAGUGUACCAAGAAUUUAGGUUAUUAACUUCAGAAGUGAUUUCCAGAACAGCAUUUGGUAGCAAUUACAUGGAAGGGGAGAAGAUAUUUGCCAUCUUGAGAAAGUUGACAGUAAUUAUGAGUCGAAAUCUUUCCAAGACUAGAAUUCCUUUGAUCAGGUAUCUUCCCUCUACGCUUAAUUAAUCCCAACUUUUACCUUGAUUUCAACUAGCUUUUGAAUGCAACUUUUAGACUUUCAUUCCCCAUUGAUUUGGUUUUCUCCUUAUAUAUAGCUGACCCUGGUUUGCUUUUGCAGCAAGUUGUGGAAAUCUGCUGAUUUGCUAGAGGCUGAAAAACUUUCAAAAGAAAUAAAAGAUCGUGUGAUGAAGAUUGUUAAGAAAAGAGAAGACAAAGUUGUGAAUGAAGAAGUCAAUAGCUUUGGCAGUGAUUUUCUUGGAUUACUUCUAAAUGCCUAUCAUGAUUCGGAUGCGAAAAACAGGCUUUCCUUGGAAGACGUGGUAGCUGAAUGCAAAACAUUCUAUUUUGCUGGACAAGAAACUGUUAAUUCCUUACUUGCAUGGAUAGUCUUGCAUUUGGCAAUCCACGGAGAUUGGCAAGAAAAAGCGAGAAGAGAGGUGAUUGACAUAUUUGGUAACCAAAAUCCACAUCUCGAAGGCAUCGCGAAACUCAAAAUAGUAAGAAAACUAUCUAACUGGGAAUUCAAAUAGCCAUCAACAUUAUGCAAUCUAACAUAUUUGUCUAUUUCCUAAACAGAUGACCAUGAUCAUCAAUGAAACUCUAAGAUUGUAUGGUCCAUCAAAUGGCCUGGCAAGAGCAGUUACAAGAGAAGUUCAGUUGGGAAAACUACUCUUGCCUGCUAAUAUAGAUAUUCUGCCUUUAAAUAUUGGACUUCACCGUGACCCUCACUUUUGGGGAGAUGAUGUGCAUCAUUUUAAACCCGAGAGAUUCGCUGAAGGGAUUGCCAAAGCUACCAAUUACACCACGGCUGCAUUUUUUCCCUUCGGGUUGGGACCUCGAUCUUGUGUUGGUAUGACAUUUGCAACAAUAGAAACAAAGGUUGCUCUCUCCAUGAUUCUACAACGUUACACAAUUACCCUCUCCCCUGCCUAUGUCCACUCUCCAAUACCUAUUCUCACCCUUCGACCACAACAUGGAAUUCAGGUAAUACUUGAGCCGAUACAUAGUAAUGCUUGAAGUACAUAGCUGCUAAGAAAUAAGGGUUUAACAUGGUUCAUGUAUUUUAGUUUUAAAAGAUGACAUUUAAUAUGUAUAAGGU
Molecule: long non-coding RNA, 43631 nt
Filed under: Gossypium raimondii (Peruvian cotton)
Lineage: Eukaryota; Viridiplantae; Streptophyta; Magnoliopsida; Malvales; Malvaceae
Description: long non-coding RNA (GRAI_LNC003407)
Source: RNAcentral